RNAcentral lists this non-coding RNA (112 nucleotides) under Palpitomonas bilix. The record is from RNAcentral.
GAAGAAAGAGAGAAGAGAAAGAAGAGAAGAAGAGAAAGAAGAGAAGGCAGAGUUGUAAGAUAGCAUAGUUGGGUACACUCAAUUUGGUUAUUUGUCCUUUUUUUUCGCGUUU